RNAcentral lists this ribosomal RNA (228 nucleotides) under uncultured bacterium. RNAcentral describes it as "partial 16S ribosomal RNA". It matches the Rfam family "Bacterial small subunit ribosomal RNA", at positions 15 to 231 of the family's 1533-position model. The record is from RNAcentral.
GAUCCUGGCUCAGGAUGAACGCUAGCUACAGGCUUAACACAUGCAAGUCGAGGGGCAGCAUGGUCUUAGCUUGCUAAGGCCGAUGGCGACCGGCGCACGGGUGAGUAACACGUAUCCAACCUGCCGUCUACUCUUGGACAGCCUUCCUGAAAGGAAAGAUUAAUACAAGAUGGCAUCAUGAGUCCGCAUGUUCACAUGAUUAAAGGUAAUUCCGGUAGACGAUGGGAG